AAUUGGGAAGACUCAAGCCAAUUGUAAUGAUGUCUGUCAAGAGUCAGACGCCAAUUAGCGAACAAAAAUAGAGUUUAUUCAGCAGAUAAGCCAAAAAGUAAUGUUAACACAGAAAAAACCUUGAAACACUUCACUAUCAGUGCUUCAAGAGCAGUUCAAACAAAAAUAUAAUUCAGCAACACAAGCAGGUAAAAACAAAACUAAACAAACUUAGUGCAAACUGCACUUUCUGAGUCCAAGCCCUGCCAGCCGGCUCUGUAGUUUUCAAAGGAACAGUUCCCAAAAGAAAACACCAAAUUGGUCAGGAAACAAACAAACAAACUAAGAAUGCAGUAGACUGCUUCCACAAUGUGGAUAAAGCCGAAGGCUCCAAAAGGAUGGUGAAAAGACGUCGUCCGGGAUUCCAAGGUCAGGUUAGGAGAUAACAGCGGUGUCCAAAGAGCAAGCCAGGAAUCAAAAGCCGAUAGUAGUCAUCAAUCACAGGGCGAAGGCAGUAGCAAGGUCAAAUUCCGAUCCAAGGUCUGAAGAGGGUGCAGUCAUCCAAAACAGGUCCACGAUAAGACACAGCGAGAGCCAAGCUAGGUGAUAACAGCAGAUUCAAAUCAUAGUCCAAGUCCAGUCUUCAUGGAAACACAGAGAUCCCAAUGGCGCCUCAGCAACACCUUGCCACACGCAAAGUGUUGCUGAGGCGCCAUUGGGAUCUCUGUGUUUCUGGACUUGGACUGUGAUUCGGAUCUGCUGAUACCAUCUGGCUUGGCUCUCGCUGUGUCUUAUCGUGGACCUGUUUUGGAUGACUGCACCCUCUUCGGACUUUGGAUUGAAUUUGACCUGGCUUCUGUCUACACCCUCUGACUGACGGCUACUCCCGGCUUCUGACUAUUGGUUUGUCUUUCGGAAUUUCUGCUGCCUCCUGACCUGACCUUGGAUUCUUCUGACGACGGCUAU
Long non-coding RNA from Anolis carolinensis (green anole), 945 nucleotides. RefSeq lists it as uncharacterized. The transcript is spliced from 2 exons. Lineage: Eukaryota; Metazoa; Chordata; Lepidosauria; Squamata; Anolidae. The record is from RefSeq and is a predicted model, not a curated record.